Salvia splendens (bonfire salvia) is the source of this 479-nucleotide long non-coding RNA. RefSeq lists it as uncharacterized. Lineage: Eukaryota; Viridiplantae; Streptophyta; Magnoliopsida; Lamiales; Lamiaceae. The record is from RefSeq and is a predicted model, not a curated record. The transcript has 2 exons.
GAGAGAAGUUGAGUUGAACUGCGUGAGCGCAUAGAUUUUGGUUAUGUUGCUGUUGAUGCAGUUGCUCAAUACAGCAUCAACCAGCCUGUAGUUCCCAGCUAUAGGGACUGCAGCCUCCGAUCUCCUCUUUGUCAGCGGCACCUGGCUUGCUGGUGGGAAAAGGGAGUUCAAGCAAUCCGGAUUCUGCGAGCUCUUGACCAACAAACUCGAAGGAGAAGUCGCGCCAGUCUUGGGAAGGAUGCACCAUGAACAGAGCACAGGCAUUAUACUAACAAAUGUGAACUAUUUGAUUUCCUAAGGAAAUGUGUAUAUUUUUUAUUUUUCAUUGUGUGGAGAGAAGGAUUUAAUGAGGAAGAUAGGAAGGGAAUAUUUAGGUUUCUUCUUCUUCAUGGACACAAGAUUAGAUCUUGUCUCUGACCAGCUUGUUGCUGCUGCUCAUCAAAUAGUAUAUAUCUAUGUACAUAUAACUCUUUGUGAUA